Triticum aestivum (bread wheat) is the source of this 800-nucleotide long non-coding RNA. RefSeq lists it as uncharacterized. The record is from RefSeq and is a predicted model, not a curated record. The transcript is spliced from 4 exons. Lineage: Eukaryota; Viridiplantae; Streptophyta; Magnoliopsida; Poales; Poaceae.
CUGCAGCGCACUGCCUCAUCUGCUCUCGCUGUUGUGUUGCCUGGUCGCGCUAAGCCAAGCCAGCAAAAAGCAACACACCGCGACAGACCACCGCCGUCUUUCGCCGAUCGCCGGCCUGCCUACGCAAGCUGCUCCCGACGGCUACACCCCCUCACCCCGACGCAGGAACACUGCCGUUCGACGAGGAGGAGAUAGAGUUCCUGUAUGAGUACACCGCCGUCGCGGACGUGGUGGUUGCGCUCGCUGGCACCGCCGGUCUCCAGGCCCGCGUCCUUUCCCUCUGCGGCCGCCUCCGAGAGGGAGCAGCGAGCUAGAGAGGACUCUGUCCGAGGCUGAAGCCUACGCCUCCAAGGGAGUUCUAAUUAUGCAUUAUACGGGAGCCAUGGCAUGCUUGCGCUGGGCCGUUGGUGCUUCACCAAGGUGAAAGAAUUUACCACUUCCACAAGGUCAUACGGAACAGGGGUACCUUCAGAAGAGGGCGGAUCCUUAGCCUUGCGAUGCUUGAGAGGACUAGGAAGAAGCACUGUGCCCAUAUUAGGAAUCUGAAGGAGGGAGAUUCCAAUACAAAGUUUUUCCAUAUGAAGAUUAAUGGGCGGCAAAUGAAUGUUUUCAUCUAUAAAUUGAAUAAUGGUGUAGGUUGGAUCACCAAGCAUGAGGAAAAGGAGCAUAUUAUAAAACAACAUUUUACCACUUUCAUGAGAAUAGGUAGGCUAGUGCGGAAUAUAAAGUUGGCCUAAGUAAUUACUACGAUGAGUACAAAAUGUGUUCACAAGUAUAUGAGUUAAACAAACACAAUAGGA